This 301-nucleotide ribosomal RNA is filed under the name uncultured bacterium. Its description in RNAcentral is "partial 16S ribosomal RNA". It matches the Rfam family "Bacterial small subunit ribosomal RNA", at positions 509 to 810 of the family's 1533-position model. The record is from RNAcentral.
CAGUCGCCACAGUAAUACGUAUGUCACAAGCGUUAUCCGGGUUUAUUGGGCGUAAAGCGCGUCUAGGUGGUUAUGUAAGUCUGAUGUGAAAAUGCAGGGCUCAACUCUGUAUUGCGUUGGAAACUGUGUAACUAGAGUACUGGAGAGGUAAGCGGAACUACAAGUGUAGAGGUGAAAUUCGUAGAUAUUUGUAGGAAUGCCGAUGGGGAAGCCAGCUUACUGGACAGAUACUGACGCUGAAGCGCGAAAGCGUGGGUAGCAAACAGGAUUAGAUACCCCCGUAGUCCCUGUCCUUAUACAC